GAUCGACCACAAACAGCCCGUGUGUGUGUGUGAGCAGCAUCUGCUGGGAACAGGGGUACAACUUCACAUCUUCCUGGAGCCUCUGCCCAGGGGCCCUGAUUGGCUGGGCCGCCUCUGGGGAGCCUGUCACGUGGGCCCCACCUGUCAGCACCAAUUGGGGUCUCCCAGACACCUGCUCUGCGCCCGGGGUUGCCAUGGGGACGGGCCGGCGGGGCGCGUGUGGGCACACCUGUCUGUGUCGGCGUGGCGCUGUGGCCGCCGCUGAGCUGUCCACACGAGCACGGAGGGGAGGCCCUGACCACUGUCCCCUCCCGCACUGGGAAAGGAAGGAGGCCUUCUUUUGCUCUCCUCCAAUUCCACACCUCCGGGAUAGGGAUUCAGGAAGCUUCCCCCAAUUUCCAAUGAAAGACACAGAGGCUCGGAGAAAGGAGUUCACUUGCGUAAGGUCGCCGAGCCCUCGGAAAGUUCCAGAGCUGGUGAGGGUUGGGGUGGGGGCGGGAGGGCCUCAAGAGUCCAGAAGACGCCCUUGCCCGGUGGAGCCCUGGCCCUCUACCCUCCACCCAGCCAGAGGCAGGUGCAGGCUCCGCAUCAGAUGUAUACGACGAGAAGACAGUGCAACCUGGCUGCCCCAGUUUGGAGCAUUACGGCCGUUGGCGCUGCUGAUCGGCUCUGGCGUCUCCUGGCUGCCUCCUCCUCAGCUCCACUCAGACACACCCCCAGCCCCCUCCCCUCCCCAGCCCCCCCCCCCACCGCACCCCUGCCUGCAGGCCACAGGCCCUCCCGCCCAGCAGGGGAGAGAGAAGCACAGCCACCCGGCCCCCAGGAUGGACAGUGAGCCAACAGGAGGACAGAGGGAGGGGCCUCAGCCCUUCUCAACACAGCAGCCACGAGCCCAGUCCUGGCCAGAACAGUCCGGGCCCCGGGGACCAGCUCUGCGAAUUAGAAGAUGA
RNAcentral lists this long non-coding RNA (950 nucleotides) under Felis catus (domestic cat). RNAcentral describes it as "lncRNA (ENSFCAG00000049891.1)". The record is from RNAcentral. Lineage: Eukaryota; Metazoa; Chordata; Mammalia; Carnivora; Felidae.